UAGAGUUUGAUCAUGGCUCAGGAUGAACGCUAGCGACAGGCUUAACACAUGCAAGUCGAGGGGCAGCGGGGAGCAAGCUUGCUUGCUCUGCCGGCGACCGGCGCACGGGUGAGUAACACGUAUGCAACCUGCCCUCCGCAGGGGGAUAACCCGGAGAAAUCCGGACUAAUACCGCGUGGUACACCUGUGGGGCAUCCCACGGGUGUUAAAAGGAAGUGAUUCCGGCGGAGGAUGGGCAUGCGGCGCAUUAGCUUGUUGGCGGGGUAACGGCCCACCAAGGCGACGAUGCGUAGGGGUUCUGAGAGGAAGGUCCCCCACACUGGUACUGAGACACGGACCAGACUCCUACGGGAGGCAGCAGUGAGGAAUAUUGGUCAAUGGGCGGGAGCCUGAACCAGCCAAGUCGCGUGAGGGAAGACGGUCCUAUGGAUUGUAAACCUCUUUAGGCGGGGAGCAAUGCCGGGCACGCGUGCCCGGAGGGAGAGUACCCGCAGAAUAAGCAUCGGCUAACUCCGUGCCAGCAGCCGCGGUAAUACGGAGGAUGCGAGCGUUAUCCGGAUUUAUUGGGUUUAAAGGGUGCGUAGGCGGGAUGCCAAGUCAGCGGUAAAAAAGCGGUGCUCAACGCCGUCGAGCCGUUGAAACUGGCGUUCUUGAGUGGGCGAGAAGUAUGCGGAAUGCGUGGUGUAGCGGUGAAAUGCAUAGAUAUCACGCAGAACUCCGAUUGCGAAGGCAGCAUACCGGCGCCCUACUGACGCUGAGGCACGAAAGCGUGGGUAUCGAACAGGAUUAGAUACCCUGGUAGUCCACGCAGUAAACGAUGAAUGCUAACUGUCCGGUGCGAGUGAGCGCUGGGCGGUACAGCGAAAGCGUUAAGCAUUCCACCUGGGGAGUACGCCGGCAACGGUGAAACUCAAAGGAAU
Molecule: ribosomal RNA, 920 nt
Filed under: uncultured bacterium
Lineage: Bacteria
Description: bacterial SSU rRNA
Rfam family: Bacterial small subunit ribosomal RNA
Source: RNAcentral